Molecule: ribosomal RNA, 253 nt
Filed under: uncultured bacterium
Lineage: Bacteria
Description: partial 16S ribosomal RNA
Rfam family: Bacterial small subunit ribosomal RNA
Source: RNAcentral
UACGUAGGGGGCAAGCGUUGUCCGGAGUUACUGGGCGUAAAGCGCACGCAGGCGGUCGGCUGCGUCGGCGGUGACAGUCCUCGGCUUACCUGAGGAAGCGCUGCCUAAACGGGUCGACUUGAGGGCCAGAGAGGGACACGGAACUCCGGGUGGAGCGGUGAAAUGCGUAGAGAUCCGGAAGAACACCAAAGGCGAAGGCAGUGUCCUGGCUGGCUCCUGACGCUCAGGUGCGAAAGCUAGGGGAGCAAACAGG